GAGGAUAUAGCUCAGUGGUAGAGUGCCUGCUUAGCAUGCAUGAGGUCCUGGGUUCAAUUCUCAGUACCUCU
RNAcentral lists this transfer RNA (71 nucleotides) under Camelus bactrianus (Bactrian camel). It matches the Rfam family "tRNA". From Rfam's summary of the family: Transfer RNA (tRNA) molecules are approximately 80 nucleotides in length. RNAcentral also lists the same sequence under 1 other name. The record is from Rfam by way of RNAcentral. Lineage: Eukaryota; Metazoa; Chordata; Mammalia; Artiodactyla; Camelidae.